This 200-nucleotide unclassified non-coding RNA is filed under the name soil metagenome. RNAcentral describes it as "partial internal transcribed spacer 2". The record is from RNAcentral.
UUAAGUUCAGCGGGUCCUCUCACUUCAUUUCAGAUCUGAUUUUGUAAAUUGGGUUUUAAUCCAAAGAACGGAUCAAGUUUUUGCUCCAUGACUCAGGGAAGGCCGUACCAGUGCACUCCGAGUUAGUUUGACGAUGGUGUGUGUCGCACGGAGGCGAACUUAACCACGUCACUCAGAUUGCUCCAGCCUCUCGCGGAAGC